RNAcentral lists this ribosomal RNA (117 nucleotides) under Candidatus Woesearchaeota archaeon. The record is from RNAcentral. Lineage: Archaea; Nanobdellati; Candidatus Woesearchaeota.
CUGGACGGUCAAAGCGGCCUGGAGAUACCCGAUCCCAUUUCGAACUCGGAAGUCAAGCAGGCCUACGUUCCUGGUUGUACUGUGCUCAAACACGGGAACCCGGGAAAGCUGUCCGCC